This is a non-coding RNA of Octopus bimaculoides (California two-spot octopus), 105 nucleotides long. NCBI's taxonomy places the organism in Eukaryota, Metazoa, Mollusca, Cephalopoda, Octopoda, Octopodidae. The record is from Rfam.
UAUUGCUUCGGUGAUAGACAUACUAAAAUUGAAAUGAUACAGACAAGAUUAGCAUGGCCCCUGCACAAGGAUGUCACAUAAAUUCAUGAAGCGUUACAUAUAUUU